UUUCUUAUCAUCCCUACCUUCCUUCUCCUCUGAUGACCUCCUCCUUCUAGUAAGUUUUAAUCCCCUUUCUUCUUCUCCUUUUCCUCCCCUCCUCCUCCUCCAUUUUUCUUCCAUCUUCUUCUUCUUCUUCUUCUCCUCCUCCUUUUCUCGCUUGGAUUUGGAGGUUUAUGAUUUAGGGUUUUGUGAUUUUGGAGUUGUAUGAUUUAGGAGUUUUAUGAUUUGAGGUUUUGAGAGGUUUAUGAUUUAUGAUUUGGGGGUUUUAUGGUUAUGGGGUUUAGGAGUUUAUGAUUUGGGGGUUGUUUGAUUUAGGAGUUUUAUGAUUUGGGGUUUGGGGAUUUUAUGACUUAAGAGUUUUAUGAUUUGAGGGUUUGAGGGUUUAUGAUUUGAUUGUUUGGGUUUUUUUAGGAUUUUAAUUUAGUGAUUUGUCUAUUAUAAUACUUGAG
This 443-nucleotide long non-coding RNA is filed under the name Zostera marina. RNAcentral's name for it is "long non-coding RNA (ZMAR_LNC004854)". Lineage: Eukaryota; Viridiplantae; Streptophyta; Magnoliopsida; Alismatales; Zosteraceae. The record is from RNAcentral.